This 292-nucleotide ribosomal RNA is filed under the name uncultured bacterium. RNAcentral describes it as "partial 16S ribosomal RNA". It matches the Rfam family "Bacterial small subunit ribosomal RNA", at positions 505 to 796 of the family's 1533-position model. The record is from RNAcentral.
GUGCCAGCCGCCGCGGUAAUACGUAGGCAGCAAGCGUUGUUCGGAAUUACUGGGCGUAAAGAGUGUGUAGGCGGUGCUCCAAGUCUGGUGUGAAAUCUCCCGGCUCAACUGGGAGGGUGCAUUAGAAACUGGAAUGCUAGAGGAUGGGAGAGGUAAGCGGAAUUCCUGGUGUAGCGGUGAAAUGCGUAGAUAUCAGGAGGAACACCUGUGGUGUAGACAGCUUACUGGACCAUUUCUGACGCUGAGACACGAAAGCGUGGGUAGCAAACAGGAUUAGAUACCCUAGUAGUCC